Molecule: long non-coding RNA, 249 nt
Filed under: Mus spicilegus (steppe mouse)
Lineage: Eukaryota; Metazoa; Chordata; Mammalia; Rodentia; Muridae
Description: lncRNA (ENSMSIG00000021954.1)
Source: RNAcentral
UAUGGAAAGAGUUUGAUGGGGUACUAAUGUUGCAUCUUUGAAGAAAUGUGUACUCAAAGAAUUACUCAUGUAGAAUCUCACCGUGCUGCCAUCUGGGACAUCAAGUUCAUUUGUGAAACCAUGCUUCCUCUCAGCAUCAUAAGAAGAUCACUACAGAAGCAGAUCACCACACUUAGCUAGUGGCAAGGAGACCGACCUGAGAGAGACUGCUGGAAUAAAUUUGGAAUUGGGUGAGAAAAGGAUGCUAGG